GUUAAGAUGGCCGAGUUGGUCUAAGGCGCCAGAUUAAUCCAACAGGGCGCGGGUUUGAAUCCUACUCUCAACA
RNAcentral lists this transfer RNA (73 nucleotides) under Salix viminalis (osier). It matches the Rfam family "tRNA". Rfam says of the family: Transfer RNA (tRNA) molecules are approximately 80 nucleotides in length. Their secondary structure includes four short double-helical elements and three loops (D, anti-codon, and T loops). Lineage: Eukaryota; Viridiplantae; Streptophyta; Magnoliopsida; Malpighiales; Salicaceae. The record is from RNAcentral.